GAACGCUAAGCGUUGUUUUUUAAUCACUGAUUUUUCAAACAAACAGCUUUAACGUUUGACAAGUUGUUUAUAUUUUUACUUUUGUUCCGUAUUAUGAAGAGAGGAUUGUGUUUAUGCCGGUUGUUGCAGUUGCACAGCAUUAUUCAUAACACCAAACCAGCAUUCACAGUGCAGUUUCACCCUGAGGCAAACCAAAGCCCCACAGACACAGAGAAGGGGAAGGAAACAUCACAUCUGUGAAGCCAAAGAAGCUGCAGUUCAUCAGAGAAGCCAGGUGGGGGAGACAAAGCACACAACUUGGAUGUCCUUUUUGACAGCACACGGUGCUGAGAUAUCUCAGUCACUUUGUGUUUAUUUGAUGUCCUUGUUUUGCCCAGGUAUCUGAAGUGCUC
This is a long non-coding RNA of Paramisgurnus dabryanus, 392 nucleotides long. RefSeq lists it as uncharacterized. The record is from RefSeq and is a predicted model, not a curated record. Lineage: Eukaryota; Metazoa; Chordata; Actinopteri; Cypriniformes; Cobitidae.